This 851-nucleotide long non-coding RNA is filed under the name Vigna radiata. Its description in RNAcentral is "long non-coding RNA (VRAD_LNC014034)". The record is from RNAcentral. Lineage: Eukaryota; Viridiplantae; Streptophyta; Magnoliopsida; Fabales; Fabaceae.
AGGAGAUAGAAAUAGAAAGGUUGAGUGAGGAAGAAGAAGAGGAUGAGAAAGAAAAAGAAGUGGUUGAAAAAAAAGAAAAAAAGAGAAAAUACGUGAAAAUAAAGAAGAAAGCAAGAAAAGAAAAAAAAAGAGAAAGUUGAAGAAAAAGAGGUUGAGAAAAAAAAAAGAAAAAAAACGUAUGAAAACCCCCUUCCUCAUCAAAAGAAGUAUCAUAGGGAGGAAAAGAAGUGUAACUGCUUAAGUGUAAGUGCUUUAUGGAAAUCUCCAAGAAAUUGAAGAUUAAAGUUCCUAUGAUUGAGACAUGGAAACAGGUGCUAGGUGUUAUCAACUUUAUGAAGAAAUUCAGUAGAAAGAGGAAAAAGAAAAGAAUAUCAAGUAAGGGGAAUAUUAAUACCUACUGAUGGGUGUUUGAGCAUCUAUUGAGGGAUGCUAGGUUGAUUAUGUAUUCACUGAAGAAUACAGAAGGUACACCUACUGAUGGGUGAUAGUAAGAUUUGCACUUACCAAUAAGUGCUAGAAAGGUUUGAGUUAGGCAUUAACGUUAAACAAGCACUACCUGGGAGGCAACCCAGUUGAUUGUUUAUCUUUAUUGUUAACUAUGUUUUAGUUUCAUUUUAUGACUUAUUUGUUGCAUAUGAGAGGGGAAUUGUAUAAAAAGUAAAAAUUGAGAGUUGAAAUCUUUUACCAAUAAGGAGUAUUGGUAAAUCCUGAAGAAUUGUUUUGAUGAUGUUGCAAGAAGUAUUAUUUGAAGAGAACAUUAGAAUUAUUUAAAAAGCAACUUGUAGAAUUUGGAUGUAGUAGGAAAAUCUUAAACCUUGUAUUUUUCACUAGAAUAAUCGAUUAUGGACAAG